CCUACGGGCGGCAGCAGUGGGGAAUAUUGGACAAUGGGCGAAAGCCUGAUCCAGCCAUGCCGCGUGUGUGAAGAAGGCCUUCGGGUUGUAAAGCACUUUCAGUGGGGAAGAAAGCCUUGGGGCUAAUACCCUCGAGGAAGGACAUCACCCACAGAAGAAGCACCGGCUAACUCCGUGCCAGCAGCCGCGGUAAUACGGAGGGUGCGAGCGUUAAUCGGAAUUACUGGGCGUAAAGCGCGCGUAGGCGGUCUGAUAAGCCGGUUGUAAAAGCCCCGGGCUCAACCUGGGAACGGCAUCCGGAACUGUCAGGCUAGAGUGCAGGAGAGGAAGGUAGAAUUCCCGGUGUAGCGGUGAAAUGCGUAGAGAUCGGGAGGAAUACCAGUGGCGAAGGCGGCCUUCUGGACUGACACUGACGCUGAGGUGCGAAAGCGUGGGUAGCAAACAGGAUUAGAUACCCGAGUAGUC
RNAcentral lists this ribosomal RNA (465 nucleotides) under Vreelandella stevensii. Its description in RNAcentral is "partial 16S ribosomal RNA". It matches the Rfam family "Bacterial small subunit ribosomal RNA", at positions 338 to 795 of the family's 1533-position model. Lineage: Bacteria; Pseudomonadati; Pseudomonadota; Gammaproteobacteria; Oceanospirillales; Halomonadaceae. The record is from RNAcentral.